CUUGGAGAAAACCACAAGCAAGAUAUAGUCCAGUCCAGUUGGUGGCGGUAAUGCACCAUUAAACUGGUUUGCCCAGUGCCAAUAAACACAAAAAAAGAAGUUUCAGCGCUGUAUCCCAUUCAUUUUUGUUGUGUCCGAUGAACCUACGCUCGCUGAGGCUGACAUAUGAAACCAUCGGAGACUGACUUUAAUGAGCGAGCAAGCCAGUUAUCCACAAAGGAUCCAAAUAUCAACGAGCAGCACCAGGCUCGUGUCUCCUCAAGAGCUGGUCUCAUUUGGGGCCUAUGACCGGGUCUGCUUCUGACAGUGGAAUGUCCUCAACAAAAACAACCUCACUGACCCUCUCCCUGUAGAUAAUAUAUAAUAAAGUGUUUUGUUGAAUGCAA
Molecule: long non-coding RNA, 386 nt
Organism: Micropterus dolomieu (smallmouth bass)
Lineage: Eukaryota; Metazoa; Chordata; Actinopteri; Centrarchiformes; Centrarchidae
Exons: 4
Source: RefSeq, a predicted model, not a curated record